Molecule: long non-coding RNA, 3337 nt
Organism: Drosophila yakuba
Lineage: Eukaryota; Metazoa; Arthropoda; Insecta; Diptera; Drosophilidae
Exons: 8
Source: RefSeq, a predicted model, not a curated record
UCGGUAAUGCGCACAUCAUGGGCGAGAGUGGGCGCGCAAGGCCGAACAAACAGGUUGUGCCACUGGGCGGUGGGUGGCUGGUGGGUGGCAGGUGGAGGAGGUGAUAGAGAGGGGUGGGGCGGAGGUGGGUGCGUUUGCGAUUGCGGCGAAUAUCCGAAAGUUGUGAAUAACCCAAAAGUGCGUGCCCCUGAUUGGGCCAAGUAGCCGUAUCCCAGUACCAGUAUCAACUACCAGAUCAACCGUAUCAACCAGAUCAACAAUUCCACACGGCGUAAACAAACACAGCAGAGUGCCAAAGUUUACUGUCACGUGCUUGUCAACAACGUCUUGGCGUUUUCGUUUUAUAACGCCCUGACCCCGGACACGAUGAAGCUUUACAAGUGACCCCCGGCUCUCGGUUCUCGGUUCUCGGUGGACUUUGCACCCGGCCAACGGCAACUACUACCACUAACUACUGCCACUGCCACCAACUAAACUGAACUGAACUGUGGCUCAGGUGCCACAGCGCUUUCAUUGCUAGUUUCUGGACACAGUAUUUAUCAACUGAAAAUGAAAUUAAGUGGCGAAUUUGUAACUAAAUUUUCAUUACCGGCAAGUGAUUGUUGAAAUUCCUUAAAUUUCCCGCUUUAAAAUGUCGAUUAUUUGCGGACUUUCCGUUUAACACCUCGAUGGCCGAUGGUUGAAGGCUGAUGUCUGAUUCUGGUGUCCAUGGAGUACUGGUACAAGGUGGACUGGGUGAAGUGGAGAUUUGGGAUGUGGAUGUGGAUGUGGAUCCGCAAAGGUCUGGUGCUUGCGGAUGAGGAACGGUGAAUUUAUAAAAAAAUCAUACUUUUAGGACGCUGCCAGGACACGGCCUGCCGGCAUUUCCUACAGGGCACGAAGGACAUCCCCAGCCCCAAUCCCUUGUUCAUCCUCGUGCACAUCCACAUCCACAUCCUCGCCUACAUGAAGCGAGAGCGCCCACAAGGGAUACAGUUGUUAACGUGGCCAAGGAGCAGCGACUAUGGCGGGGACAAAAACACAAACAUGGUUGCCGCAGGACGCUUGCAGUUGAAGGAGCAGAGCACUUUAUGUGCAUAUAAUGUCCGCUCUCACCCAAAGCGCACACCCACACUCACUCACUCGCACACACACUAGCACACACAGGAAGGACCCUUUGAGGACGGUGUCGGCCAAGUUGCGGGGAAUUGUUAAUAUUGUCUGGGCCUGUAAGCAGCAUUUACAUGCUGGCCGACACCACGUACUACAUACGUCCUGGCUGAUGGACGGUCGCCGGGAUACGGAAUCCUUGCCACUUUCCAUGCGGAUGAUGCCCCGGCUUUAAAUGUUGAAUUAACCGACGAUGCCCACCCAGCCCGACAGCUUUCAUUAGAAAAGGCGGAUGGACAAAGUCCUGGAGUUGCCGGAUGUGGAAAGCCCAAAUGCCGAUGCAUUCUCGAUUCGUGGCAUUAAGACAAAAAUAAACUUGAUUUUGGUAUGAAAUUGAUUCAUUCAUUUUCGAUCCAUUGAGUCAGAUUCUUAUCCGAUGGAUGAGUCGGGCAGCAUCGCCACUUCCAACUGUGUCCACAUCCAACAGGUAGUCAAACCAGACAAACUGUCUCCACUUGCACUGGAGUCUCGUUUCCAUCUACUUCACCUCUUCCAUCGCAAAUUCUUUAAGGCUAAUUAGUGACUUGAAAGGCUGCAAAAACAGAGGACACCCUUAAUGAAAGGAUAUCGUCAACCAGAUUCGUAAAGAGUACUUCUCGGAUAAAUUUCGAUGUUUUCAAGGACCAGAAUGUCAGCUAGAGAACAGGAGAACCUACCAUAUAACUGUUGAAUGAUUUUUGAUGGAAGGGAUGAAAGCAGAUGGAUAUUAUUAUGUUAAUUUACAAUACACAUUAUAUGAUUAUAUAGAUUUACAAAAUAAUACGAUAUCAAGAAAGGUCAUCAAAGUACGAUGGAUGUUUUGCCUAUGCUUGCUUUGUACUUUCCAAUUGAAUUUGGUUGGAAAGGUUUAUGUAUCUGCAAAUUGUAUUGAUAUUCGACAGUAUUCUUAUUGAAUCACUUUUUGCAAAACAACAUACGAUAGCAGAAUAUAAUUAUUUAUGUAAAUCUUAUAUAGCCAGGAUGUAAUGGCAAUCAAAAUUGUGUAUAUGGCCACUGAAGCAAGAAUUCUUGUAGUAUAUUUAUAUUUUAAAAAUUCAAUUUGUAGAUAUUAAUAUUGAAAUCUGUACAAUUAAGAAAUACAAUUCUAGUCCUUACAUUCAGAGAAUUACAAAAUUACCUAUAAAAAUGAAAUGACAUUUUUUCAGUUAUGUCACAAGAUGUAAAUAUGUAAAAUUGCAUUCAAAUGACAGUGACAUACAAUAAAGUGAGGAGAAAUAAAUUAUGUUGAAGUUAUUUACCAAUGAACAAAUUUCAGACCCAUUAAAAGGCUAUACAUUUUGAAAUAUAACUAUUAUUUAAGAAGCGAUGUUUCAUUAAAUUGUUUAUUAGAUACUGCUCAAGAUACAUGAUAUGCAUUUAGUGGAGAUUACGAUUACAAGGAAUAUAUAAUAAAAUAUAUAUAAUAUAUUAGUUUAUUUUAAAUUUGUAAUAAAUUCGAAAUCAAAUAUUUGGGAUCGUACGCAGAUGUGUGCCAAUUUGAAAGAACAUGUAAUGUAAAAUACAUUGUAAUUAUUACUUUCACUCAAUUUAUCUAGUGAUCAAGACAAUUAGUAAUGUAGUGAUUUCAAUUCUGAGUUUUUGAGCAUGAAAUAAAUUAUUUUCCUAAUUAUUUUCGAUCAACUUAGUAAAAGACGAUCACCCACCCAUACGCAACCAGUGCACUAUAGUGCAGUGCGCACCAAUAUUGAAAUAUGCCCAAGAGUAUGCAACAUAGUUUUCAAUGCACUUUCUAAAGCAUACUUAUGUGGUUAAUUAUUGGCUGCAACAUAUUUUCAUACCAACUUCUGUUUAUCUAAAUUCAGUUAAAGUGCAAUCUCGAAUUGGAUUUUAUAUUAUUAAAUAACUGUUUUAAUACCUAAUACAAUGUGGUUUAAAGGAGCCCUCUUCUUAGUUAAUUAUAAAAGACGAUCACAUACUUUCAUAUAAGGUAAUAUUUGUACAUUAAAGGAAGAAACAAAAGUAUAGAAAUUACAUUUGUAAAGAAUUGAAUUAAGGAAAAGCAACUCAAAAUCGAAGAUACUUUAAACUGCUUAAAAUGUCAUUAUUUAUUAGAUACAAAUUUCCCAAUUUAAAUUAUAAUUGGCUAAAGCAACUUGCGAUCAUUUUAAUAUGUGUGAAUUAUAAAUUCGUGUCCAGUAACUUUUGUGAUUUAAAUCUUUCAGUAUAUUAUAAAUUCGUUACAUAUUAA